This 396-nucleotide ribosomal RNA is filed under the name Triticum aestivum (bread wheat). RNAcentral describes it as "partial small subunit ribosomal RNA". Lineage: Eukaryota; Viridiplantae; Streptophyta; Magnoliopsida; Poales; Poaceae. The record is from RNAcentral.
AUGUUGGCGAUGUUGCGGAUGGUGAAGGCCUCGCCGGGCUCCAGGCCCAGGGUGACCGAGGGGCACACACGGGAGUCGGCGCACGCGAACACCUUGAACUUCUCGAACCCGGUCUUGAGGCGCUCCACGGCGGCGUCCAUCUGCAAGGGGAGGAGAGGAGAGGAUCAACACCAAAUUAGUUGCCGUCGCGUCGCCACACACUCGCAGCAAGAAGAAACAAAUAAACACUCGAUAUGCAUCAUGCGAAUUUCGAGAGAGAGAGAGAGAGAGAGAGAGAGAGCUGUGCCCACGGAAAGGGAGAGCGUGCGCAAGCAAAGGCGAUUCAAGAGGAUAACUAAAUGCUUUACAACAGCAACAAAAAAGAAAGAAAAGCUGAAAGGGCAAGCUGUGAACUGA